RNAcentral lists this ribosomal RNA (125 nucleotides) under Bison bison bison. The record is from RNAcentral. Lineage: Eukaryota; Metazoa; Chordata; Mammalia; Artiodactyla; Bovidae.
GUCUCAGGCCGUAUCAGCCUGAAGGCGCCUGAUCUCGUCUGAUCUCGGAAGCUAAGGCAGGGUCGGGCCUGGUUAGUAUCUUGGAUUGGGAGACCGACCUAGGGAAUCCCGGGUGCUUCGAGGCU